RNAcentral lists this ribosomal RNA (460 nucleotides) under uncultured bacterium. Its description in RNAcentral is "partial 16S ribosomal RNA". It matches the Rfam family "Bacterial small subunit ribosomal RNA", at positions 338 to 795 of the family's 1533-position model. The record is from RNAcentral.
CCUACGGGAGGCAGCAGUGAGGAAUAUUGGUCAAUGGACGAGAGUCUGAACCAGCCAAGUCGCGUGAAGGAUGACUGCCCUAUGGGUUGUAAACUUCUUUUAUAUGGGAAUAAAACAGGGCAUGCAUACCCUCUUGUAUGUCCCCUAUGAAUAAGGAUCGGCUAACUCCGUGCCAGCAGCCGCGGUAAUACGGAGGAUCCGCGCGUUAUCCGGAUUUAUUGGGUUUAAAGGGAGCGUAGGUGGAUUGUUAAGUCAGGUGUGAAAGUUAGCGGCUCAACCGUAAAAUUGCAGUUGAAACUGGCAGUCUGGAGUACAGUAGAGGUAGGCGGAAUUCGUGGUGUAGCGGUGAAAUGCUUAGAUAUCACGAAGAACUCCGAUUGCGAAGGCAGCUCACUGGACUGUAACUGACACUGAUGCUCGAAAGUGUGGGUAUCAAACAGGAUUAGAUACCCCUGUAGUC